Molecule: ribosomal RNA, 504 nt
Filed under: uncultured bacterium
Lineage: Bacteria
Description: bacterial SSU rRNA
Rfam family: Bacterial small subunit ribosomal RNA
Source: RNAcentral
AUCCUGGCUCAGGAUGAACGCUAGCUACAGGCUUAACACAUGCAAGUCGAGGGGAAACGAUAUUGGAAGCUUGCUUCCGAUAGGCGUCGACCGGCGCACGGGUGAGUAACGCGUAUCCAACCUGCCCAUCACUUGGGGAUAACCUUGCGAAAGUAAGACUAAUACCCAAUGACGUCUCUAGAAGACAUCUGAAGGAGAUUAAAGAUUUAUCGGUGAUGGAUGGGGAUGCGUCUGAUUAGCUUGUUGGCGGGGUAACGGCCCACCAAGGCGACGAUCAGUAGGGGUUCUGAGAGGAAGGCCCCCCACAUUGGAACUGAGACACGGUCCAAACUCCUACGGGAGGCAGCAGUGAGGAAUAUUGGUCAAUGGACGAGAGUCUGAACCAGCCAAGUAGCGUGCAGGAUGACGGCCCUAUGGGUUGUAAACUGCUUUUAUAAGGGAAUAAAGUGAGUCUCGUGAGACUUUUUGCAUGUACCUUAUGAAUAAGGACCGGCUAAUUCCGUG